AGAAACGGGUGGGCCCUCGAAAUCCUGUGGCGGGAGGAUUCAGUCUGGAAUCGUGGUCGCGCCGUUCGGAAACCCAGGAAGGGCUUCCCGAACACGGGGCCGUCCGAUCGCGAGCUUCCGCGAGGCCAGACGCAUUUGUCUCCCGCUCGAAGGACGCCGCAGCCUGUCCGGCAGUGCAAACGUGACGGCCUGAGAGGCGGGCGACGGCAGGUGGCCGGUGGGGGGUCUCGUACCCCCUAUCGGUUGUUAGCCGGCCCGUCGGUGGCACGUCGCUGGACAGAGGUACCGAGAUGCCCUCCGGGGCGUUCCCACCUCCCCUCCACAAGAGGACGGGACAUAACGUCGCGAGCGAAGGCAGCCGCGCGGCCGCACUCCUCCGGAGUGGGCCAGCGUCUAGUCGGCAUCGUCGGCGACGGAGGACCCGUAGGAGGUAGGAGGUUGGCGGCGAGUAGGUCGGUCACCCACCCGACCCGUCUUGAAACACGGACCAAGGAGUCUAACAUGUGCGCGAGUCAAUGGGUCUCGAAUAAGCCCAGAGGCGCAAUGAAAGCGAAGGUCGGCACCACGUCGACCGAGUCGGGAUCCCGCGCCCCCGCGGCGCGGGCGCACCGACGACCCGUCCUGUGCUGCUUGCAGCUUGGGCGGAGUGAGAGCGUACACGUUGGGACCCGAAAGAUGGUGAACUAUGCCCGGACAGGACGAGGCCAGAGGAAACAUCUGGUGGAGGUCCGCAGC
RNAcentral lists this ribosomal RNA (735 nucleotides) under Trabeops aurantiacus. RNAcentral's name for it is "partial 28S ribosomal RNA". The stretch from base 487 to 735 matches the Rfam family "Eukaryotic large subunit ribosomal RNA", at positions 665 to 881 of the family's 3401-position model. Lineage: Eukaryota; Metazoa; Arthropoda; Arachnida; Araneae; Lycosidae. The record is from RNAcentral.